Molecule: ribosomal RNA, 472 nt
Filed under: uncultured bacterium
Lineage: Bacteria
Description: bacterial SSU rRNA
Rfam family: Bacterial small subunit ribosomal RNA
Source: RNAcentral
UGAGGAAUAUUGGACAAUGGGCGCAAGCCUGAUCCAGCCAUGCCGCGUGUGUGAAGAAGGUCUUAGGAUCGUAAAGCACUUUAAGUUGGGAGGAAGGGCAGUAAAUUAAUACUUUGCUGUUUUGACGUUACCGACAGAAUAAGCACCGGCUAACUCUGUGCCAGCAGCCGCGGUAAUACAGAGGGUGCAAGCGUUAAUCGGAAUUACUGGGCGUAAAGCGCGCGUAGGUGGUUCGUUAAGUUGGAUGUGAAAUCCCCGGGCUCAACCUGGGAACUGCAUUCAAAACUGUCGAGCUAGAGUAUGGUAGAGGGUGGUGGAAUUUCCUGUGUAGCGGUGAAAUGCGUAGAUAUAGGAAGGAACACCAGUGGCGAAGGCGACCACCUGGACUGAUACUGACACUGAGGUGCGAAAGCGUGGGGAGCAAACAGGAUUAGAUACCCCGGUAGUCCCUGAGCGGGCUGGCAAGGCGCAU